This 5037-nucleotide long non-coding RNA is filed under the name Homo sapiens (human). Its description in RNAcentral is "non-protein coding LINC01978:22". The record is from RNAcentral. Lineage: Eukaryota; Metazoa; Chordata; Mammalia; Primates; Hominidae.
ACCCUAGGCAGGCACUGCUCCGUGAUCCAGGAACCACCUCUCUCUACAGCUGGGAGUGAGCAGUCAGAGAGGGAGACAGCCUUGCCCGGUGCUACCCAGCAAGCUAGUCACCGAGUGGGCAGAGGGAGGAGCGGCCCUCACCGGAUGUCAAGCAGCCUGGGUCCCCAGUCCAGCUCUGCCUGUCCCUCGCAAUAACGCCUCAGUGACGACCAUUUGUGAGCCAUCUCUCUGUCUCAGGCACGGUGCUACAUGCCAACGAAACCUGCUCCCAUUGAACCCUGGCCAGCCAGUGAAGAAAGGGUUGGGCCUGGGAGGUGCCACUUUACAGACAGGGGCACCAAGGGGCAGGGUGGCAGGAGGCCCACCGGACGUUCCCCAUGAAGUAGCAGUACCAGCAUCCACACCCAGCAGGCACCACGCUGGCCCGCAGCCUCCCUGCCAGCACGCCUGGCUUCCCGGCCUCGGAACUUGAUCUGCUCCCUCUUCCGGACACUGGGGCUCCUGCCAAGUCCUGGGCUGGGCAGCAACUGCUGAACAUUCUAAGAAAUCCCUCCCAGGGUUUUCUCAGGAGCCCGGGUGGGGCAGGAAGUCCCCAGGGGCUGAGGGGACCGUGGCGGCAGGUGGCACCCAGAGCAGCACUCUCCUGGGGCCCAGGCUGUUGGGCCAGAGGCAGGACUGUGAGGCCUAGUGUAGGGCCUCCUGCCAGUGGCCGGCACCUACUUGUGGGGCUGGGGGUUCCCCCAGCAGGUUGGGCUCCCCACCUGACACACUCACAGACCUUGUGCCUUGGAGAGCCAGUGUUCCCGGGGCCACAUAGCUAUGCCGCCCAGGGGCUGGGCCUGUCCCAGCUCUGGUCCCCCGGCCCCAGGUCCUGGACGCUGGCUCCGCGCAGCAGCAGGCGGCCUCCGGAGGACACGAUGUGACUGGCUGCCGCUACGUCGCACUCAGAUGAGUCUGCGCCGGAUCGACCUGCUGCCGAGUCCUGCCGGACAGGCACAGGCAGGGAGUGAAAAUUAUCUACCCCUUUUUAUUUCUUAAUAACUGAAUGAAAAUAAACAUUGGUGGUUUGACAAAUAACUACAUAUUUUCAAACCCAGCCAGUCCAGGGGAUGCAGUUUCCAGGUGCGUUAUGCAACAGGACGCCGCCGAGAUGCUCUGAGAUGUCCCUUGGCUGUCUCACGGGUUGUCUCUGGGUUCCCUCCCACCCCCACUCUCCUUUGCCACCCUCUCCCCAGCCCCCACUACCCUUUCACGCUUCUAAAUUCAAGGGCCACACUGUCCCCUGAACAGACCAAUCACAAUGAGAUCCAUUAUAGUUCCAAAGAUACCACGAAAAAAAAAAAAAAACGUGGGGGGUGUCCAGGAAUGCAGCCGCACCCCAGAGAGCAGUACAAUCAGCUAUUGUUGUGCUAGAAGUUUCUCUGUGAUAAGAAGGGAAUCUAGCAAUGCCGCCUUCUGAACUGAUUGCAAAACAGAAUAGAAAGUUCAAGGCCCCGAGAUAGCUAAGCUAGCAGCCCCUCCAGAGCAGCCCCAGGCCACACAGCUGGGCUUUGGGGCUGGCCAGCCCCUGUCCUUGCAUGCAUCUGCACAGGGCUCCUUGCAAGGGGGCCCGGCUCCAUAUCCCCCACCUCGCCCCCUCCCCAUCUGGGCCUGGGGCGGCUGAGCUGGCUUCCUGCACUGAGGGGACCCUCCGGCCUCCUUCCUGAAGCAGCUGCCCUUCCCCGAGGGACUCCCGGGUGAGGGCCUCCCACAUUGUCUGCUUUAGUGAUGCUGGUUCUCCCACAGACGCUGCCUGUCCACCCCGCACAGAUGGCAUGACUGUCCUCCCCUUGCCCGGGCAGGGAUACGGCGGCACAGAGAUGGGGGCCGAUGGCUAGGACCUGAACUCCAAGCUGUGGGCCCCAGGUUUUUCAUCUGCUUAGGCCACUCCCCACUGCCCAGACGUCCCCUGGGGUGUCCGGUUUGCUGGAAGGGCCACCACUGGCCUUGAGCUCCCAGUGUCAUUUCCGGGCGCUGACGCGUGAGGGUCUCCAACAGGCGGGCCCACGGGAAGUGCUUUCUGUGCUUGGCCCUUCAUGCUUUGCCUCUGGUUCCUGAAAUGGGCACUGGAGGUGGGCACAGUUACUGUCCACAUUUCACAGGUGAGCAAAGUGAGGCUUAGAGAAGCUAAGUGACUUGUCCAAGGUCACACAGCAAAAGAGGGGCCUCGAACAGAACUAAAGGGCCCAUGGUGCACAGGCAGAGGUUGCCAUAGAGCGACCAGGGCCUUCUCAAAUCCGGCUGUGAGCAGAAACUUCUCCCGCCCCCCCGGGCCCACCAUGGUGACCUGUGGAGUGCCUCCAUGCGCCGAGAUCGCUUAUCAGCCCAUCAGCACUGGUCACGGCCACUUUUAUGGUCUGUGUUCUCUCGUGUGUCUGUAUUCGUGCGACGUUCCUUCAUUCAGGCAAUAUUUGCUGAGCAUCCAGGAGGCCCCCGUUUAUUCAUUUAUCAUCCAGCAAACACCGCGAGGCGGCUGCCAGCUGGGGCCGGGCUCGGUGCGGGCUCCCGGGUGGGGGCGGGCAUCACGGGGCACUGCGUGGCGGAUGUGGGGAGGGUCGUGAUGGGGAGGGACGUGCUAGGUGUGCACAGAGAUGCUGGGGUGCAGGAGCGGGUGUCUCUCUGAGCACAUGGCCCGGAAACUGAGGGCUGUGGGUGCACUAAUGUGGGGGAGAGACCAACUUCCUUUCACUGGAGCCCUCAAAGUUUCUGGCAGGGAUAACCAGGAUCCUAGCGUCUGACACUAAGUUCAGGGAGGUCACAGGACGUGCUGGAACCAGGAGUUCAGGGUUCAAGCCCAGGCCUUUCUCCUCAUAUUGAACGGGCCUCUCCUGGUACCAUGGGGUGCCCUUGAUCCAAAGCCCCCAGUGAGGAACAUCUCACGGUAUGUGGGGAUGGGCCUUUGCCAUAGCAGCCCAUGCAAGGCCUUGGGGCCAGAGCCAGCCCCGCAGGGACCCUCCUUGCACUAUUCUUCACAUACACCAUUGAGGACAAGAGGAAGGGACACCCCUGGCCUGGCCAUGUGGUGACAGCUCCCUGUGCAUUGACCCCCAGGGGUGCUGCGAUCUAGGAGUGGCCAUGAGACGAGGGGGAGGGAGACACUUUCCCGAUGGUGUGGCGGGCAGGUCUGGCAGGCAGGGUUAGGCGGGGUCGUGGAAGAGGCUGUCCUGGCCCAGAGGCUGCCAGGCCUGGCCUGGGGCUGGCUCCUCUUCCAGGAAAGGUGUGAGGCCUCUUGUGGCUCAGCACUUUGGAAAGUCAGCCAAGUUCUAAGCUUACAGGUGCAUGAAGGUUCCAUGUCUGUGGUUUCAAGAACAUAAAAGUGGGGUGGGAGGCCCUGGGAGGUGGUCCUGUGUGGGGGCAGCCAAGUAGGGGGCGUGGGAUGGGGAAUGAGGUAGGGGAUGGAGUAAGAUGUGGGAGAAGUGAAGUGGGGGUGAAAUGGGGAAGUGGGAGUGGGAGGGGAGGAAGGGGCAGGUGCUGGGAAGUUGGCCCUUGUGGCCCUAAUCUGUCUGUGACAGCUUCCGCUCCUACCCAUCCACAGGGACAAGAACAAGUAUCCCCUUCCCCAGCCUGCUCCCUCUUAAAAAAAAAUCCUCUUCCUAUUUAGUAUGCAACAGGUGCUCAAUGUGUGCUCCUACCGUUCUCCAGGAAAGGAGGGAGCUAAGCAGGACACAGCCCAGAGCUCAGCACUCCCCUAGCCUCCCACCCUCACCUCCCAAGGCAAGGGCCAAACCCAACGGUCUGGCUGGGGACCCCCACCAGCCUCCCCCACCAUGGAUGGAGGUGGCACGUCUUGAGGCCCAGAGGGGGCAGACAUGACGUCCAAGGCUACACAGUGAGUCUAGACCACAUGGCCUGCUCCUCACGCCCUGGAGAAAGAAAAGGCAGCCCAAAGCAGGGAGGGUCAUGCCCCACCUGGAGUGGGCCUUGAUGACCUUGACGUCCCCUUCCCACCUUGAAAUAUUUAACAAUUCUUCCGGAGUUUCCCCAAGGAGGCCUAUUCACACAGGCGGGCCAUCUGAUGAUCUGCCCCUGGGGGGUUUCUCCUGCAGCCACCUGGGAGGGGCGUGGCACUGGACAGGGAGGUCCCUUUACCCCACACAAGAAGGAAGAGCCGAGUAACCCACCCUGACGGGCAGUCCCUCCACUGGGAGCUGGGGCCAGGGUCUGGGCGAGGGGCUGGAGUCAGACUGUGGGAGCACGGAGCCCAGGAUCUGAGCCUGCCCGCAGGCUGCCUGUCUUCUGGUCUCUCUCCUCCUGCUCCAGCUUGGCCGAGCCAAGCUGCCGAAGGCCAAAGAGCAGCAUGAACUCCUAAGAGUGACCCAAAUAAACCUUCUUUUCAAGAAAAACAGGCCCUGCAAGCCUGUGGGUCCCCAUGACAAGGGAUCCAUCAGGCAGACAGACUGCACUUCGGUUCGGUUGGUGAGGACUCUGUCCCACUCCGCCAGCAGCUCCCAGCCUGCUGGGCCCUGGCCCUGGUGGUCACCGCUGUGGCUUCCUGCACCCCCGCCCCGUAGAGAGCUGCAGGGAGCCCGGGGUGCUGCUGCUCUUCUGAGGCGGGAGGGUCUCCUGCCUUUGCUCAGGUUUUAUAGAGAGAGGGUGGGCUGGACAGGGACAGACAGGGGCUGGCGGCUGAGGGUGAGGGUGGAGGGAGUGGUGCGGUGUCCCGGCUACAGGCGGGCUCUAGGGCUGGGCUGGGUGAGGGCUUGGGCAGGGUGGGUGGAAGGCUCAGAGGGGCCUGGGGCCAGGGCCCGGUGGGUCCUUCGCUGCCCUGGUUGGGGUGGGGUGGGUCACUGCAGGGAAUUACAGCAAGUGGGAGGCUCCAGGAGGUGGGGAGUUUCCUCCGACUUUUGGGACUCUGAGGCUCGGCCUCCUCUUGCACGUUCUCCAGCCUCCUCGUCACCGCCACCAGGUUACUACCUUUACCCGACGCACACCUGACGUGGCUGGAUGACUGGGCCCGGGGGCUGCUGCCCCUUCUCGCACCCCGCCCCUCCCCUCCCC